AGCUUCAACUCGAAGACGACCUCAACUUGAACACUUGGAAAAUUUUGAAGAUUUGGCGGGCUUUGCAGACUUCAACUCGAAGAUUCGGAGGGUUAAACAAUUCAACUUUAAGACCGACGAAUUUGAAGACUGAAACUUGAAGACCGACGAACUUGAAGACUUCAACUUUGAGACUUGGAGGGCCUAAAUAUUUCAACUUGAAGAUCGGCGAAUUUGAAUUUUUCAACUUGAAGAUCGACGGACUUGAAGACUUCAACUUUGAGACUUGGAGGGCCUAAAUAUUUCAACUUGAAGAUCGGCGAAUUUGAAGACUUCAACUUGAAGACCGACAGACUUGAAGACUUCAACUUUGAGACUUGGAGGGCCUAAAUAUUUCAACUUGAAGAUCGGCGAAUUUGAAUUUUUCAACUUGAAGAUCGACGGACUUGAAGACUUCAAUUUUGAGACUUGGAGGGCCUAAAUAUUUCAACUUGAAGAUCGGCGAAUUUGAAGACUUUAACUUGAAGACCGACAGACUUGAAGACUUCAACUUUGAGACUUGGAGGGCCUAAAUAUUUCAACUUGAAGAUCAGCGGAUUUGAAGACUUCAACUUGAAGACCGAUGGGGUUGAAGAUUUCAACUUGGGGACUUCACUUAGAGACUUCGAGGGCUUAAAUAUUUCAGAUUCUCUUUUGCUUUACAUUGUUUGACUUUUAUCUUAGUCACAUAAUUUUCAACUUUACGUGCUUAUAACAAA
RNAcentral lists this long non-coding RNA (737 nucleotides) under Nicotiana tabacum (common tobacco). RNAcentral's name for it is "long non-coding RNA (NTAB_LNC009480)". The record is from RNAcentral. Lineage: Eukaryota; Viridiplantae; Streptophyta; Magnoliopsida; Solanales; Solanaceae.